Molecule: ribosomal RNA, 305 nt
Filed under: uncultured bacterium
Lineage: Bacteria
Description: partial 16S ribosomal RNA
Rfam family: Bacterial small subunit ribosomal RNA
Source: RNAcentral
ACAGCAGUCGCCGCGGGAAUACAGAGGAUGCAAGCGUUAUCCGGAAUGAUUGGGCGUAAAGGGCGCGUAGGCGGUGAGAUGUGUGUGGUGUGAAAGCCCCGGGCUUAACCUGGGAAGCGCAUCGCAAACUAUCUGACUGGAGUAUAUGAGAGGGUGGCGGAAUUUCUGGUGUAGCGGUGAAAUGCGUAGAGAUCGGAAGGAACGUCAAUGGCGAAGGCAGCCACCUGGCAUAAUACUGACGCUUAGGCGCGAAAGCGUGGGGAGCAAACAGGAUUAGAUACCCCAGUAGUCCCUGUCUCUUAUAC